CAGAAAUAGUAAGAAGGGUGAAAGGAAUAAGGCGAAGAUGCUGACGCGGAGUUUGCAAAUGCAAGAAAAACUCAAAAGUGCGUGACUUUACGAAAGAGGCAUUAGAUGGCGCUAAAACAACGCUAGACGUCACAUUUUUUACAGGGUGGGACAGUAAAAAGCAAUUUUAAAACGCGUUCAGGGGAAACAGUACUGCAGAUGGAGAAAAGAAUGCAUCAGAGAAUUCUUGUCUUGACCCUCCUUAUUUCUUUAGGACAUGGCAUUGAAGACCGUGUUUGGCAACCUGAAAGUACAGUGCAGGUUCUUCAAAAACAAGAGGCUGAAAUCAAGUGCAACUUUGAAGCAAGAGAUACUGCUAAUGCUUACUUCUUCUGGUAUAUUCAGACACCAAACGGCGCUCCUCGGCAUUUAAUGACAAGGACACCUACUUACAGCAUCAAUGAAGAAGGUUUCAAAGAAAGAUUUAAUGCAACACUCAACCGGGAGAACAAAACAGUCCACCUGAAAAUUUCAUCUUCUAAGCUGUCCGACUCUGCAAUUUAUUUCUGCGCAUUGCGGCCCACAGUAAGGGAAAGGAAGCCGAGAACAUUACACAAACUCAUGUGACAGAAAAACUGUCAUAUAAAUAACAACUUUUAAGUCCAAAUUUUGA
Erpetoichthys calabaricus (reedfish) is the source of this 652-nucleotide non-coding RNA. NCBI's taxonomy places the organism in Eukaryota, Metazoa, Chordata, Cladistia, Polypteriformes, Polypteridae. The record is from the annotation of a RefSeq genome assembly.